CCCGCUUCGGUGGGGUGAGUAAAGUGGCGCACGGCUGAGUAACGCGUGGGUAACCUGCCUUUGAAUCUGGGAUAACUUCGCGAAAGCGUUGCUAAUACCGGAUAUUAUCCUUGAAACCCCGGUUUUAAGGAUGAAAGAUGACCUCUUCAUGAAAGUUGUCAUUCAAAGAGGGGCUCGCGUACCAUUAGCUAGUUGGUAGGGUAAUGGCCUACCAAGGCUGCGAUGGUUAGCUGGUCUGAGAGGAUGACCAGCCACACUGGAACUGGAACACGGGCCAGACUCCUACGGGAGGCGGCAGUGAGGAAUUUUGCCCAAUGGGGGAAACCCUGAGGCAGCAACGCCGCGCGAGUGAAGAAGGCCUUCGGGUCGUAAAGCUCUGUCGAGUGGGAAAAAGUUCUUAUGGUAAAUAGCCAUGAGAGUUGAUGGUACCACUAAAGGAAGCACCGGCUAACUCCGUGCCAGCAGCCGCGGUAAUACGGAGGGUGCAAGCGUUAUUCGGAAUUAUUGGGCGUAAAGGGCGUGCAGGCGGCUUGGCAAGUCGGAUGUGAAAGCCCUGGGCUUAACCCAGGAAGUGCAUUCGAAACUAUCAAGCUUGAGUAUGGGAGAGGAGAGUGGAAUUCCCAGUGUAGAGGUGAAAUUCGUAGAUAUUGGGAGGAACACCCGUGGCGAAAGCGACUCUCUGGACCAAUACUGACGCUGAGACGCGAAAGCGUGGGGAGCAAACAGGAUUAGAUACCCUGGUAGUCCACGCCUUAAACGAUGAGAACUAGGUGUAGCGGGUAUUGACCCCUGCUGUGCCGUAGCAAACGCAUUAAGUUCUCCGCCUGGGGUGUACGGUCGCAAGGCUAAAACUCAAAGGAAUUGACGGGGGCCCGCACAAGCGGUGGAGCAUGUGGUUUAAUUCGACGCAACGCGAAGAACCUUACCUGGAUUUGACAUCCUUUGACAGUCCUAGAAAUAGGAUCUUUCCUGCUUGCAGGAACAAAGAGACAGGUGCUGCAUGGCUGUCUUCAGCUCGUGUCGUGAGAUGUUGGGUUAAGUCCCGCAACGAGCGCAACCCUUGUCUUUAGUUGCCAGUAUUAAGUUAGGCACUCUAAAGAUACUGCCUCGGUUAACGAGGAGGAGGGUGGGGAUGACGUCAAGUCCUCAUGGCCUUUAUAUCCAGGGCUACACACGUGCUACAAUGGGCUGUACAAAGAGCCGCGAAUCCGCGAGGAUAAGCCAAUCUCAAAAAGCAGCUCUCAGUUCGGAUCGGAGUCUGCAACUCGACUCCGUGAAGUGGGAAUCGCUAGUAAUCGUGGAUCAGUGCCACGGUGAAUACGUUCCCGGGCCUUGUACACACCGCCCGUCACACCACGAAAGUCGAUUGUACCAGAAGUUACUGGGCUAACCCGCAAGGGAUGCAGGUACCUAAGGUACGGUUGGUGAUUGGGGUGAAGUCGGAACAAGGUA
Molecule: ribosomal RNA, 1452 nt
Filed under: metagenome
Description: bacterial SSU rRNA
Rfam family: Bacterial small subunit ribosomal RNA
Source: RNAcentral